RNAcentral lists this ribosomal RNA (282 nucleotides) under uncultured Oscillibacter sp. RNAcentral's name for it is "partial 16S ribosomal RNA". The stretch from base 45 to 282 matches the Rfam family "Bacterial small subunit ribosomal RNA", at positions 100 to 339 of the family's 1533-position model. Lineage: Bacteria; Bacillati; Bacillota; Clostridia; Eubacteriales; Oscillospiraceae. The record is from RNAcentral.
UUUUGAAAGAUUUCUUCGGAAUGAAUUUGAUUUAGUUUAGUGGCGGACGGGUGAGUAACGCGUGAGGAACCUGCCUUGAAGAGGGGGACAACAGUUGGAAACGACUGCUAAUACCGCAUGAAGCAUAGGGGUCGCAUGAUCUUUAUGCCAAAGAUUUAUCGCUUCAAGAUGGCCUCGCGUCUGAUUAGCUAGUUGGCGGGGUAACGGCCCACCAAGGCGACGAUCAGUAGCCGGACUGAGAGGUUAACCCCCACACUGGUACUGAGACACGGACCAGACUCC